GGGAUUACGGGAAUUAAGUGCUCAGCACAGCUUGGGCUUUUAUCAUAUGUAAAUAGUAUGGUGAAUAAGUGGUGGGUAAGACUGGUGCCAGCCGCCGCGGUAACACCAGCGCCACGAGUGGCAAUCGCGUUUAUUGGGCCUAAAGCGUCCGUAGCAGGUUUUGUAAAUUUCUUGUGAAACUGCCAGGCCUAACUUGGCAAUGUGCAGGAAACACUGCAAAACUAGAGACCGGGAAGGGUCGGAAGUAUUCCUGAGGGAGCGGUAAAAUGCUAUAAUCUCAGGAGGACUACCGGUGGCGAAGGCGUCCGACUAGAACGGAUCUGACUGUGAGGGACGAAAGCUAGGGGAGCAAACCGGAUUAGAUACCCGAGUAGUCCUAGCUGUAAACGCUGUGAGCUAGGUGUCGCGUAUUCUACGGGAAUGCGCGGUGUCGUAAGGAAGCUACUAAGCUCACCGCCUGGGAAGUACGGUCGCAAGACUGAAACUUUAAGGAAUUGGCGGGGGCGCACCACAAGGGGUGCGGCGUGCGGUUUAAUCUAACUCAACACAGAGAACCUUACUAGGGGCGACGGCAAGAUGAAGGUCAUGCUGAAGACAUUACUCGAUGAGCCGAGAGGUGGUGCAUGCCCGUCCCCAGCUCGUGCUAUGAAGUGUCCAGUUAAGUCUGGCAACGAGCGAGACCUGUAUCUCAAAUUGCUACAGCAUUACGUGGACUGAGCACAUUUGCAGGGACUGCCUUGGAAACAAGGAGGAAGUCAGCUACGGUAGUCUGUAUGCCCCGAAUCCCUUAGGCUACACGCGCGCAACAAUGGUAGACACAAUGGGAUCCAACUCUGAAAAGAGAAGCUAACCUCUAACCCUAUCCAAGUUCAGAUUGAGGUUAAACUCACGGUCAUACGUCGAAUCCCUAUAAUCAGGG
RNAcentral lists this ribosomal RNA (919 nucleotides) under uncultured euryarchaeote. Its description in RNAcentral is "bacterial SSU rRNA". It matches the Rfam family "Archaeal small subunit ribosomal RNA", at positions 367 to 1302 of the family's 1478-position model. Lineage: Archaea; Methanobacteriati; Methanobacteriota. The record is from RNAcentral.